This 392-nucleotide ribosomal RNA is filed under the name Bacillus subtilis. RNAcentral's name for it is "bacterial SSU rRNA". It matches the Rfam family "Bacterial small subunit ribosomal RNA", at positions 640 to 1030 of the family's 1533-position model. The record is from RNAcentral. Lineage: Bacteria; Bacillati; Bacillota; Bacilli; Caryophanales; Bacillaceae.
AAGUGAGUGCAGAGGAGGAGAGUGGAAUUCCACGUGUAGCGGUGAAAUGCGUAGAGAUGUGGAGGAACACCAGUGGCGAAGGCGACUCUCUGGUCUGUAGCUGACGCUGAGGAGCGAAAGCGUGGGGAGCGAACAGGAUUAGAUACCCUGGUAGUCCACGCCGUAAACGAUGAGUGCUAAGUGUUAGGGGGUUUCCGCCCCUUAGUGCUGCAGCUAACGCAUUAAGCACUCCGCCUGGGGAGUACGGUCGCAAGACUGAAACUCAAAGGAAUUGACGGGGGCCCGCACAAGCGGUGGAGCAUGUGGUUUAAUUCGAAGCAACGCGAAGAACCUUACCAGGUCUUGACAUCCUCUGACAAUCCUAGAGAUAGGACGUCCCCUUCGGGGGCAGA